RNAcentral lists this transfer RNA (79 nucleotides) under Plantago lanceolata (narrow-leaved plantain). RNAcentral's name for it is "tRNA-Val". It matches the Rfam family "tRNA". Rfam says of the family: Transfer RNA (tRNA) molecules are approximately 80 nucleotides in length. Their secondary structure includes four short double-helical elements and three loops (D, anti-codon, and T loops). Further hydrogen bonds mediate the characteristic L-shaped molecular structure. tRNAs have two regions of fundamental functional importance: the anti-codon, which is responsible for specific mRNA codon recognition, and the 3' end, to which the tRNAs corresponding amino acid is attached (by aminoacyl-tRNA synthetases). tRNAs cope with the degeneracy of the genetic code in two manners: having more than one tRNA (with a specific anti-codon) for a particular amino acid; and 'wobble' base-pairing, i.e. permitting non-standard base-pairing at the 3rd anti-codon position. Lineage: Eukaryota; Viridiplantae; Streptophyta; Magnoliopsida; Lamiales; Plantaginaceae. RNAcentral also lists the same sequence under 3 other names. The record is from RNAcentral.
AAGGGCUAUAGCUCAGUUGGUAGAGCACCUCGUUUACACGCGCCGAGAAGGUCUACGGUUCGAGUCCGUAUAGCCCUAA